GAUGAACGCUGGCGGCGUGCCUAAUACAUGCAAGUCGAGCGAACAGAUGAGGAGCUUGCUCCUCUGACGUUAGCGGCGGACGGGUGAGUAACACGUGGAUAACCUACCUAUAAGACUGGGAUAACUUCGGGAAACCGGAGCUAAUACCGGAUAAUAUAUUGAACCGCAUGUUUCAUUAUUGAAAGACGGUUUUGCUGUCACUUAUAGAUGGAUCCGCGCCGCAUUAGCUAGUUGGUAAGGUAACGGCUUACCAAGGCAACGAUGCGUAGCCGACCUGAGAGGGUGAUCGGCCACACUGGAACUGAGACACGGUCCAGACUCCUACGGGAGGCAGCAGUAGGGAAUCUUCCGCAAUGGGCGAAAGCCUGACGGAGCAACGCCGCGUGAGUGAUGAAGGUCUUCGGAUCGUAAAACUCUGUUAUUAGGGAAGAACAAAUGUGUAAGUAACUAUGCACGUCUUGACGGUACCUAAUCAGAAAGCCACGGCUAACUACGUG
RNAcentral lists this ribosomal RNA (497 nucleotides) under uncultured bacterium. RNAcentral's name for it is "partial 16S ribosomal RNA". It matches the Rfam family "Bacterial small subunit ribosomal RNA", at positions 28 to 507 of the family's 1533-position model. The record is from RNAcentral.